Molecule: ribosomal RNA, 647 nt
Filed under: Fastosarion papillosus
Lineage: Eukaryota; Metazoa; Mollusca; Gastropoda; Stylommatophora; Helicarionidae
Description: partial 16S large subunit ribosomal RNA
Rfam family: Archaeal large subunit ribosomal RNA (bases 223-374)
Source: RNAcentral
GAAUUAAAUUUAAAUAAAAAAAUGUUAAGAUUUUUUUACUAGUAGAAUAUAAAUUAUAUUUAGUUAUAUGAUUUAAUCUUCUAAUAUUAAAUUAAAUUAUAAAUUUAUUAUUAUAUAUAUCUUAGCAAUAAAGUUUUAUUAUAUUUAAUUAAUAUUUAAAUUAAUAAUGUUAAAAUUAGUAAAUAAUAUUUAUUUUAUUUAGGAACUCGGCAAAAAUAUUAUUCAUCUGUUUAUCAAAAACAUAGUUUUAUGUAGUAUAUAUAAAAUGAAACCUGCCCACUGAUUAUAAUUUAACGGCCGCAGUACCUUGACUGUGCUAAGGUAGCAUAAUAAAUUGACUCUUAAUUAGGGCCUUGAAUGAAUGGAUAAAUGAAUAAUUUCUAUCUUAAUAAAAAUUGUUUUAAAUUACUUAAAAGGUGAAAAUUCCUUUAAUUUAUUUAAUAGACGAGAAGACCCUAGGAGUUUUAAAUUUUGUUGGGGCGACAAUAUAGCAUAUAACCUAUAUUUAAUAAUAUUAUAAAACGAAUAAUUUUAAUAAUAAAUAAACUACCCUAGGGAUAACAGCACAAUUUAAAUUUAAGUUUGUGACCUCGAUGUUGGACUAGGAACUUUUAACAUUAACAAUGUUAACUGGCAGUUCUGUUCGA